UUAGUCUCGGCGGCCUAUACAAGUAUUUCGUAGUAUGGUCCCCAAGGCUUCGACGGGUAGCGGCUUGAGAGGUUAGCGCCACACUGGACUGAGACCCGCUAGACUCUACGGGAGGCAGCAGUGGGGAGUAUUGCACAAUGGGCGAAGCUGAUGCAGCACGCGCGUGGGGAUGACGGCUCGGGUGUAAACUCUUUAGUAGGGAAGAAGGGCUUCGGCUUGACGGUACCUGCAGAAAAAAGCACCGGCUAACUACGUGCCAGCAGCCGCGGUAAUACGUAGGGUGCAAGCGUUGUCCGGAAUUAUUGGGCGUAAAGAGCUCGUAGGCGGUUUGUCGCGUCUGCUGUGAAAACCCGAGGCUCAACCUCGGGCCUGCAGUGGGUACGGGCAGACUAGAGUGCGGUAGGGGAGAAUGGAAUUCCUGGUGUAGCGGUGGAAUGCGCAGAUAUCAGGAGGAACACCGAUGGCGAAGGCAGUUCUCUGGGCCGUUACUGACGCUGAGGAGCGAAAGCGUGGGGAGCGAACAGGAUUAGAUACCCUGGUAGUCCACGCCGUAAACGUUGGGAACUAGAUGUGGGGACCUUUCCACGGUCUCCGUGUCGCAGCUAACGCAUUAAGUUCCCCGCCUGGGGAGUACGGCCGCAAGGCUAAAACUCAAAGGAAUUGACGGGGGCCCGCACAAGCGGCGGAGCAUGCGGAUUAAUUCGAUGCAACGCGAAGAACCUUACCAAGGCUUGACAUAUACCGGAAACUUCCAGAAAUGGUUGCCCCGCAAGGUCGGUAUACAGGUGGUGCAUGGUUGUCGUCAGCUCGUGUCGUGAGAUGUUGGGUUAAGUCCCGCAACGAGCGCAACCCUCGUUCUAUGUUGCCAGCACGUCAUGGUGGGAACUCAUAGGAGACUGCCGGGGUCAACUCGGAGGAAGGUGGGGAUGACGUCAAAUCAUCAUGCCCCUUAUGUCUUGGGCUUCACGCAUGCUACAAUGGCCGGUACAAAGGGCUGCGAUACCGUAAGGUGGAGCGAAUCCCAAAAAGCCGGUCUCAGUUCGGAUUGAGGUCUGCAACUCGACCUCAUGAAGUCGGAGUCGCUAGUAAUCGCAGAUCAGCAACGCUGCGGUGAAUACGUUCCCGGGCCUUGUACACACCGCCCGUCAAGUCAUGAAAGUCGGUAACACCCGAAGCCAGUGGCCUAACCGCAAGGAGGGAGCUGUCGAAGGUGAUCGAAGUCCG
This 1224-nucleotide ribosomal RNA is filed under the name uncultured bacterium. RNAcentral describes it as "bacterial SSU rRNA". It matches the Rfam family "Bacterial small subunit ribosomal RNA", at positions 224 to 1477 of the family's 1533-position model. The record is from RNAcentral.